Molecule: ribosomal RNA, 253 nt
Filed under: uncultured bacterium
Lineage: Bacteria
Description: partial 16S ribosomal RNA
Rfam family: Bacterial small subunit ribosomal RNA
Source: RNAcentral
GACGAACCGUGCGAACGUUGUUCGGAAUCAUUGGGCUUAAAGGGCGCGUAGGCGGGCUGGCCAGUCCGGGGUGAAAGCCCACGGCUCAACCGUGGAAGUGCCUUGGAUACUGCCGGUCUUGAGGGAGGUAGGGGCGUGCGGAACUUCCGGUGGAGCGGUGAAAUGCGUAGAUAUCGGAAGGAACACCGGUGGCGAAAGCGGCGCGCUGGACCUCUUCUGACGCUGAGGCGCGAAAGCCAGGGGAGCAAACGGG